RNAcentral lists this ribosomal RNA (1733 nucleotides) under Candidatus Kaiserbacteria bacterium. Its description in RNAcentral is "partial 23S ribosomal RNA". It matches the Rfam family "Bacterial large subunit ribosomal RNA", at positions 2289 to 2925 of the family's 2925-position model. Lineage: Bacteria; Candidatus Kaiseribacteriota. The record is from RNAcentral.
CCUAAAAAGUAACGGAGGAGCCUAAAGGUCAGCUAGGCGCGAAUGGAAACCGUGCCGAUAGUGUAAUGGCACAAGCUGGCUUAACUGCAAGGCGUACUUGCCGAGCAGGCGCGAAAGCGGAGCAUAGUGAACCGACCAUGCGCAUUAGAUGCGGUGGAAGAUUAUCGGACAAAAGUUACUCUGGGGAUAAACCUUGAGCCGUAACAGGCAAGAAAGGUUCUGUUGUCCUCUCAUGGAGCGAUCCAUGAGGAAUAAACAUGGCUUAUAACGGGGGACUGUAGACGGUCUUUUCCUGAUCUUCGGAUCAGUUUCUCGAUCUACACAAUCCCGUGGGAAGUCUUAUGGACUUCAUUGAGGUGAAGUCCAUAAUGACCCCGUAACGACUGGAUUCAAUUCGCACAAUGUUUGUGCGAUGCGAUGAAGAUAGUGGAAGAGCCGGCUGAAGCCGGAGACACACCACUAUAAGACGCCAUGCAUCUCACUGAGAUGAAGAUAUAGUCUAAAUUACGAAAGUAAAUUGAACAGGCUGGUUUCGCCUAAGAGUCCAAAUCGACGGCGAAGUUCGGCACCUCGAUGUCGGCUCAUCUUAUCCUGGGGCUGGAGAAAACAUACCUUCUCUCCCUUUUCGAAAGGAAAGGGUAAUUAAACAAGCUCAAAACGGUGAAGGCUUAUUCAUGAUCUGGUGACUCCUGUUUCGGAGGUCCCAGGUGCUAUACUAUAAAGUAUGGCAAAAGGCAUGAAAGCUAACGCCGUGGGAAAGAAGUGUGCUGAAGUCGAUCGUGCAUAUAUUGCUGGUCUCGUAGACGGUGAUGGUGCCAUUAUGGCACUCAUCGAGCCGCACAACGAGAAGAAGUUUCGUUUUCGGGUUCGCAUAGAAUUGAAGAUCACGCAAAAAGAUAGGAAGAGUCUCGUAUUUCUUCCUCGUCUCUUGGGGUGUGGAUCGAUUCGCACGAACAGGACGACCUAUGACUGGAUCACACGAGAUCAACAAGAGAUCGUGCGGGUCCUCUCAAUGCUUCGUCCAUAUACGAGAACGAAACGGCGGCAGAUAGAUAUCGCGCUAAAGAUCGCGCAAACUCCUGUACGGAGUAGGGCAGAUCUCAUGCGUGUAGCACGAUGGGCAGAUACAUUGUCUCGGUUCAACGUACGAUCCAAUAAUCGACGUAAGAACCAUGUGGCAAUGAUCCAAGCAUAUUUCUCCCCUAACGACUGAUUGCAAUCAUUUUGGCGAUUGCAUGAGAUAUGCACUAUAUAAAGUGGUAUCACACGGCUUGCACCUGACGGUCGUACGGCGACGUACGAUACAAGGUGAUGGAAUAGUCUGAUCCCCGCGGGAACGCGGGAUAACAAGUGAUAUUUGUACGGCCCGUGCAAAUAUUCAAAAUGAGGUCCCAAGGGUUUGGCUGUUCGCCAAUUAAAAAGGUACGUGAGCUGGGUUCAAACCGUCGUGAGACAGGUUGGUCUUAAUCUGCUGCAGGCGUUGAUUCUUGAGGAGAUUUGUUUCUAGUACGAGAGGACCGAAAUGAACGAACCUCUGGUCUGGGGGCUGUACCGCCAGGUGCACCGCCCCGUAGCUAUGUUCGGAAUGGAUAACCGCUGAAAGCAUCUAAGCGGGAAACCAACUCCAAGAUAAGGAAUCGUUUGAGGGCCGUGAGAGAUGAUCACGUUGAUAGGCACCAGGUGGAAGUGCAGCAAUGCAUUGAGCCGAGGUGUACUAAUCCCCCGACAGAACU